RNAcentral lists this long non-coding RNA (713 nucleotides) under Marmota monax (woodchuck). The record is from RNAcentral. Lineage: Eukaryota; Metazoa; Chordata; Mammalia; Rodentia; Sciuridae.
UAUUCCAAUUGACCAGAAAGAAAAUAAAUUGAAGGAAAAAGUAUCUUAAAGGGGGUGGCUUAAUGUCAACUCUAAGUGGAACAUCACUAGAAGGUAGAAAAUUCAAGCUUUCUUAAUAAGCUCUCCGGCCAGUUGAUUAUUGAAAGUUAUAAAAUAGAUACAGAUUGAAACUCUAGGGUCAAAUGAAGGGAAUGGAAUGGAAUGAAAAAUCAAAUUGCUAUACAUAUACUUUGAUUACACUAUAUCAAUUUCUGACCAAAGAACUGCAUACAUACCAUUUGAUUUAUGUACAUAAAAUUCUAGAAAUUGCAAACUGAUCUGUUUUCUUUAGCAACCUAACAUUUUAGAGCAUUGGGAAAAUCUAUGAAGUAACUUAUGAAAUCUAUGAAAUAACAUUAGUGUACUUAAAUGGUGGAGGGAAAGGAAAUGACAGAGAAAUAAAUCGAAGUUACAAACAAAACAAAAUUAAAAAGUUUGAGUCUCCCAUUAAGCCCCCCCCCUUUAAAUCCGCCCCCCCCCUGCUUUAUGUACAGGUUGCCCAACCUCCUUGUUGCCAGAAGAUAAGUAAACUAAUCUACAGCAACAGAAAGCAGACCAGUAGUAACCAGGAGAGAGGUGAGCAGAGGGGGAAUUAUAGAGAGGCUGAGGAAAUUCUUGGAGAUUUCAUCAGCUUUAUUUGAUCCUUUCCAAUCUGAGUUGUUUUAUCUUACCUU